CACAGAAACAGACUAUUGUUAUUCACAUUUUCCAGCUCUCCUUCACUGUGAGCAAGAACAGUGUAACAGAAGGGACUCAGCUACUGAAAGCAAAAGAUCAGUGC
This 104-nucleotide long non-coding RNA is filed under the name Junco hyemalis (dark-eyed junco). RNAcentral describes it as "lncRNA (ENSJHYG00000017956.1)". Lineage: Eukaryota; Metazoa; Chordata; Aves; Passeriformes; Passerellidae. The record is from RNAcentral.